RNAcentral lists this ribosomal RNA (119 nucleotides) under Brassica oleracea var. oleracea. Lineage: Eukaryota; Viridiplantae; Streptophyta; Magnoliopsida; Brassicales; Brassicaceae. The record is from RNAcentral.
GGGUACGAUCAUACCAACACUUAUGCACCAGAUCCCAUCAGAACUCCGUAGUUAAGCGUGUUUGGGCGAAAUUAAUACUAAGAUGGGUGACCUCCCGGGAAGUACUCGUGUUGCAUCCU